GGGCCCGCACAAGCGGUGGAGCAUGUGGUUUAAUUCGAUGAUACGCGAGGAACCUUACCAGGGCUUAAAUGGGAAAUGACAGGGGCAGAGACGCCCCCUUCUUCGGACAUUUUUCAAGGUGCUGCAUGGUUGUCGUCAGCUCGUGCCGUGAGGUGUCAGGUUAAGUCCUAUAACGAGCGCAACCCCUACCGUUAGUUGCCAGCGUGUAAUGACGGGGACUCUAACGGAACUGCCGGUGCAAACCGUGAGGAAGGUGGGGACGACGUCAAAUCAUCACGGCCCUUACGUCCUGGCCACACACGUGCUACAAUGGUAGGUACAGAGGGCAGCUACCGGUGGACCGGAUGCGGAA
This 352-nucleotide ribosomal RNA is filed under the name uncultured bacterium. RNAcentral's name for it is "bacterial SSU rRNA". It matches the Rfam family "Bacterial small subunit ribosomal RNA", at positions 917 to 1272 of the family's 1533-position model. The record is from RNAcentral.